Drosophila pseudoobscura is the source of this 1936-nucleotide long non-coding RNA. RefSeq lists it as uncharacterized. The transcript is spliced from 3 exons. The record is from RefSeq and is a predicted model, not a curated record. Lineage: Eukaryota; Metazoa; Arthropoda; Insecta; Diptera; Drosophilidae.
UUUGGGCUGAUCAAGAAGGCCGGAAUAGCUUCCACCUCCACCCAAACUCUUUUAUUUUUCCUAAGUUUUCCUAUAUGUGGAUCUAAAACCAGCCUUUCUGUGAUUAAAAAUGCAUUACGAUGCUCAUGUAUUUGUUUUUUGAUCGAAGAGCCCUCUGCCAAGUCAUUUCCCCCAGUGUCCGUCUGUAGAGCGUUUCCUGUUUCUUUCAAUUAUUCGGCCAAGAAGGGGUACCAUUGGCCGACAGCAGGCAGAGUACGGGCCGCGUAAUAUCCAAUUAUUCAAACAAGAGGCCAUAAAUGCUGACACAACGGGGACUGGCUUGAUAAUAGACUCAUCAGACAUCGGUGCUCGUCAUCAUCAGGCCAUAGCCAGGCGCACACAACAGGUAGCAGGCCAGAGAGAGUGGAGGAACCUCGAACGGACCUGUCGCUCGUGCUCGUGACGACAAAAGUGUCUUCAACGGAAGUGACACAGCACAACACACACACAAAAAAAUACUUGAUUAUAAAUGCCCGAUGCCGCGAAGAAAAUAAAACUAAUAAAUUGAUGUUGAUCUGAGCGAUGCUGCUGGGCUGCCAUGGAGCCCAGGCCAGGGAAUCGAGCAAUGACAAUGACAAAAUCAACCGAGACAGAGAGAGAGAGAGAGAGAGCUGACAAUGAUGAAAGUGACAGCAACAAUGGCGCUGCUGACUGACUUGACUGACUGACAGGAGGAUGUGAUGGCACUGCUGCAGAUUGUGGCACCAAACAGGAGGCGGGGUGGCCAGGGACCAGGACCAGCUGUUCGCUAACUCGACUCUCUUGGCGUGACUUGUCAACGGGGGCAUCAUUCAAUAGAAGCAGCAGCAUCAACAGCAAACAGGCCCAGACAUAGGCGAUAAUGUGGUCUAUCUUUUGUCUCUCGAAAUUUCCAGGACAUUUCAGUGUCUUGAAUUUCUCCCACUGUUGACCGAACCCCAGCCUUGGAGAGUCGAACCCAUCUACUGCCCCGAAGGAAAAAGACAAGCCAGUGACAGUCCCAGUUCCAGUCCCACUGCCAGUCAUCGAUCCAUCAGCCAUUCAAUCAUUCAGUCAUUUCGACUGUUGUCACUCACUCACACUCAAGUUGCAUGCGGCAGGCAGACGAGUCAGACCAGAGGGGCCCCCAGCCGCCAGCCCCCAGCCCAUGCUGCACGAUUCCGUGGUACGCUUCAAUGAAAACAAACUGAUAUUUGCCUGACACUUGAGAUUGAUUGUCAUCCAUCAAGAGAGCUGCUGUCGUUGCUGCCGUUGCCGUUGCUGCUCUGCUGUGAGUGAGUGAGUGAUUGAAUGGCAAGGAUGCGCUGUUUGCAUUUCGAAUUUACAUGCCAUCUCCCUGCCUUCAGGCCUGGCUGUCUUCAAACAUUUGGGCGUUGGCCUGAAUUUAUAUUCAAUUACGACUCUGAAGUUUUAUUUCUUCAAGCUGUCACUCGUCCCUCCCGAAGGUUGACCACAAAAGUGGUCGGUCGUUCCUUUGCCAGCCUUUCACACACACACAAGUGAUGCUUGACUGAAAGGCGACUGCCAGGCAACACUUCUUCUCAUCUCCAUUACCUGGCAACACAUAUGUAUGCCUCUGUAAUGUGGUGAUACUCGGAGCCAGUCCGGAGAUCAUGUUUGCUUUUGGCACCGCAUAAAAGCCGUCAACUCCGAUUUGGAUACUCAAGAGGAGGGCCCAUGUGGUCAAGCCAGCAGCAGCUGUUGAGAUGCCAUAUGAAAGACAAAUUACUCGACGACGAGGCUUGAAAUAAAUCACUGCGAGGAUAGGACUCUUUUGCUGCCCAAUUUAAGAGUACAGCUGUCGCCGAUUUGGUUGUGGGACAUGGACAAAGCCCGCCGCACAUCUCUCUCAAUUUUCUGAAUGUGCAGUGCACUAUUUUCUGUUUUAUUGUUAAUUAAUUCUGCAAAAUAUAUGGCA